RNAcentral lists this ribosomal RNA (463 nucleotides) under uncultured bacterium. Its description in RNAcentral is "partial 16S ribosomal RNA". It matches the Rfam family "Bacterial small subunit ribosomal RNA", at positions 28 to 507 of the family's 1533-position model. The record is from RNAcentral.
GAUGAACGCUGACAGAAUGCUUAACACAUGCAAGUCUUUGGCGAAGCUGUGCUUGCACAGCCUAGCCAAGGCGGACGGGUGAGUAACGCGUAAGGAACUUGCCCUGCAGUCAGGGAUAACAGACGGAAACGACUGAUAAGACCUGGUAAAGUCAGUCGGACUCAUGUCCAGCCUGAUGAAAAGAGAUGCUGCAGGAGAGCCUUGCGGCCUAUUAGCUUGUUGGUGGGGUAACGGCCCACCAAGGCGAUGAUAGGUAGCCGGCCUGAGAGGGUGGACGGCCACAAGGGGACUGAGAUACGGCCCUUACUCCUACGGGAGGCAGCAGUGGGGAAUAUUGGACAAUGGGGGCAACCCUGAUCCAGCAAUUCUGUGUGCACGAUGAAGGUUUUCGGAUUGUAAAGUGCUUUCAGCAGGGAAGAAAAAAAUGACGGUACCUGCAGAAGAAGCGACGGCUAAAUACGUG